Long non-coding RNA from Homo sapiens (human), 1168 nucleotides. Ensembl annotates it as ERCC6L2 antisense RNA 1. Its record names the gene ERCC6L2-AS1. NCBI's taxonomy places the organism in Eukaryota, Metazoa, Chordata, Mammalia, Primates, Hominidae. The record is from Ensembl.
CCCUCUGAGGCCAGUAGCAGGAAGGGCCUCGGGAGUUGCGAGUGUCGCGAGGUUUGAGGUCGCUCGGUGGGCCGGGCGCUGUGCGAAGCUAGAAAUAACUGGGGGCAUGGAGAAUGCGGUGGCUGUAAAGGGCCGCUGAGGCGGUGGAGGCCUGGCAGAGAGCGUCCCCGCGGUCGCGGCUUCUGGCUUCUCUGUGGAGCUUGGUUCUUCCGUGGUGGUGCAGCACCCCAGGAACUUCAGGAACCAGUCCUUCCUUGGAGAGCUCCCCGGGACAGCCACGGGGGCCAAGUGAAACUAGCGCGUUUUCUUGGAUCCUACACUUUAUAGUGAGUCAUAAAUACUUUAAAUACAAAGCCAACAACAUUUGCUGCAAAUAAACGUAAAAAUACUGUUAAAGUGUAAAGUGUUUUCCUCCGUACCAUCUGACGUUUCUGGCGGUUCGUUGAACGCGAGAGAACGCUGAGCCGUCUGCACUGAGCCCGGGAGCAUCUUCAGGGCAGCGCCGCCCACGCGCGAGGUGAAUGAAGGACACGGCCUCUUGACACUCCCAGGCAGCACAGAUAGACGGAUCCAGACGAGGACCAGGCUGAAAGACAAGCUGAGGGAAAGACUAUGCCGUGCAGCAAAGUGCACAAAACUUAAGUGUAUACAGCUUGGUGAAUUUUUGGAUAUGAAUCCACCUGUGUAACCACCAUCUGGAGCAAAAUAUUGAACAUUUUAAGCAUCCCAGAAGAUUCUAUCAUGCUUCCUCCUAGCUCUAACCUCCUUCCGCCUAAAGAUCCCAGUUUCUGACCUGUAGCAUAGUCCCUCUCUCUGAAGAACUUCCUGUAAUAUUUUUUGCUAGGAAGAGUUUGAAGUUUGAAAUCCCAGAAUGAGGAAAUUCAUCCAGCUUGGAGACUUCCAAUCCCUUCAUUGUGCAGAAGGUUGCUAAUGCUCUCAGGAGAAGCCCUUCACCAAGAGAAUACUUCCACAUAGAGUCCUCUCCAUUGAGACUAAGGAAACAUGCUAUGUCAUGUAGCCACAGCAGCCUUUGCAGCUGUUGAAGGCAGCAAGACUUGCAUGGCAAUCAGAAGACACAGAACCAAGACUCAUAUCCAGUUAUAAGAUGGCAGAUGGGACACACACUCAUCAGGCUUAGUGAGCAGCCAAUCCAGAGGGAACCAUACUC